UGAUGCUCUAUGAUGUUUGUAAGAACACAAAAUUAUUUUAAAUUUCCAGCUUUAAUUUCCAGUGUAUGGUUUCAACUGCAUUGCAGCCCUUACAUUGCUGGGGAUUAGUCUCCCCAGAGGAUGAGCUAGUGGCAGGGAGAAUCAAACAGCUGCUGCAGGAGAAGCGAAAUGAAGGGAGCAUGGAGGAGGGGCUGGAAGAAUGAUCUGAAAAAGGAUUAGAAGGAUGCCUGAGUGGGCAAAGGACUUUCUAAUGCGUUCUAUUUGAUUUGCUUGGUGAUGCACACGGCAUUUCCAAUUGGCUGCAUCGCCAGUGAGAUGCCCAACUCACCUCCCCACCUUACGCCCCCACCUCCUAUUCUGAGCUUCAGUCCGUCCUAACCCACAUGAGGGCUGGGAAUGAGGGAACGAGGCAAGAGAGGUAAAAAAGUAACUGGCAGAGAUCACACAGCCAGCCGCAGAGACGGGACCCAAUCCUGGGUACUAGGAGUCUACAGGCCCACCGUCUUAACCACACUGCUACACCACCUGCCAAUCACGGCGCACUAAAGUUCUCUUGUGUUGAUGGAUGCAUCAGAAUGACACUGCAUGAAAACUGCGAAUCAGAAGGCCAUGGAGCCCCCCAGUGGCUCAUGAUGUGGGAAUCAUGGUGGAGUGCACGGUGAAACAAGACUGCUCACUUCAUGGCCAGGGAACAAAGGAGAAGGGAGACGAGGCUGGGGUCCUGCAGUCUCGUUCCAGGGCACAGUCCCAGUGGCCCCCACUAAGCCCCACCCCUGAAAGAUGCCAACACCAAUCUGGGGACUAAGCCUUCAACGCAUAGGCCUUGGGAACAUUCUAGAUCCACGCUGUAGCAAGUAUCGUCUAGGCCUAGUGGCUCGCUUCUGAGGAACAGUUAACCACGCCAGUGGGAGGUCACCCCUGACAUCCAGGCUAUGAAUGACUCUGCUUUCUGUUUUGCUCAUCUGCCUGCUUGCUUGGAAGACAUGAGUUUGCCUGUGUCGAGCUGUGCACACAAAGGCUGACAGCCUGGGAGGACUAAAAGGAGCUGACUGCUGCCUCAGUCUCAUGGGUGAACUUGAAAGCCCGUCGUCCCCCAGCCAAGCCUUGGGAAGACACCAGCCCGGGCUGACUCCUGGACUUCAGUCCAUGGGAGACCCUGUGCCUUGGACUCAGCCAAGCUGUGUUUCAUCUCCAGACCCACAGAAAUUGUAAGACAAGAAAUGCUGCUAUGUUAAGAUGCUGAAUCCGUCACUGACAUAGCUGUUUAAGUGUAUUUCAGAGCUCUGACUCUGCAUCUGACCACAGGCCUAUUUCCUGGCUAGAAAAAGGACAAAAACGUUCAACUGCCAUUGGCAUAAGGUGAAGAUGCAGUGCUAGAUAAAGAAGCAAUUGUGAGAGAGAUGAGGCAUCAGUAUGGCUUUUCCAAUUAGCCCCAGUCUUCCCUAGCUCAACACCCCAGAGUCAUACUGUGCCCCUACACCACUCGGGGGUGGACUGUCCACUGUGCCCCAGCCAGAGCUGGUCCUUUUUGUCCCCUCAGCUGCCAGCCACAGUGUCAGCUGGCCCACACUGCUAAAACUUUGUAGUGUGUGAUUGUUACUCAUUAUGGAUAAUAAUAGUAUAUGCAGUUAUAUAUUCACAAUAUACAAGUAAUGCUAGGACGUGCAGUUUGAUGCAUCACCUGAUCCAUGAGCAAUGGAAAGUUUCCACAGACGCAAAACACCAGUUGCUCCCCCAUGCUUCGCCUCACCAUCUGCCACACAACCACAGAAUCCUGCGUGCCAGCCUGAUGCCAUUUGGGCACGUGGCAAACAGAAGCAGAAAUUUGAAACCCGUGUCUUACCUGGUGCUUAGCAACACGGUAUCCCCACACCUAACUAAAAGGAGGUGGUGUGCAGUGUGAUGGUCACACUGCGGGGAAUGUGCCCUUUGUGGCUGCCAUAUGUGGAUUUCUUCUCUGAGAGCUUGUGAGUCACUAGGAUCUUCAUUUUGGCUCAACCCACUGCCUGCCAUGCUUGGAGAACCAAGUUGAAAAGAGCAGGAGCAUUUUCAGUGAUAAUAAGCAUGUUCCUAUAGCCAACUCCUCCAUCUGUUCCUACAG
This 2101-nucleotide long non-coding RNA is filed under the name Heterocephalus glaber (naked mole-rat). RNAcentral describes it as "lncRNA (ENSHGLG00100032864.1)". The record is from RNAcentral. Lineage: Eukaryota; Metazoa; Chordata; Mammalia; Rodentia; Bathyergidae.